UAUAUAUGACCCAGCUAUUCCACAGCUAGGUAUUUACCCAAGGGAAAUGAAAGUAUAUAUCUACACAAAGACUUGUCUGCAAAUGUUCACAGCAACUUUAUUUGUAGUAACCAAAAACAGAACACAGUCUGUCUGUCCAUCCAUAGACAUACCGGUAAACAAACUGGGGUAUAUCCAUACAAUCACUACUCAGCAUGAAAAAAAUUGAUGUACGCAACAGUCUGGAUAAAUCUCCAAAUAAUUAGAUUGAAUGGGAAAAGCCAUGUAAAAAAGAACAUACACUGUGUGAUUCCAUUUAUACAUCAUUCAAAUUCAUCUUUAGCUAAUAGCAAAGCACACAAAUGGUUGCCUAAGGAUGAGGUGGGUAGGGGCAGGGAAAGGCAAGAGAGAAGGAUUAAUAGGAAGAUGGGAAAAAUCUAGGGGGUGAUGGAUAUGUUCACUAUCUUCAUUGUGGUGAUGGUUUCUUAGUUGUAUGCAUAUGUCAGAACUUAUCAAAUUGUAUACUUUAAAUAUGUGCAAUUUAUUAUAUGUCAAAUAUAACUCCAAAAUGCUGUAAAAAAAAAAAAAAAGUAUAGAUUGCCAUCUUCUCCUGAAAAAUAUGGUCUGGUGCUGCCACCUUGAGAUGGGACAGGCACUCUCCACUGAACUAACCCUGGUUAUUUCCCCAUUUUUCUUACACCAGCUUUUAAAAUGUACAUAUGCUUCCUUGGCUUCUAAUGAUAUUUGAGGUUGCAACUCCUAUUUAAAAGGUAAAUGGGCACAUUUUCUAACAAAAAGAAGUAAACACUAGGGAAUACAAUACAUUCUCUAGGUCAGGCUUCAUUUCUUUUUGUAUUCCUAACGCGUAACAUCCAUGGCAGAUGAUCAAAGCGCAAAUCCAUUCUCUCAGAUGGAACUCAUAUAGAGUAUCAGCCCUUGAUUGCCUUGUUUAGGAACUAAAGGAGAAGAGAGCCAGGGGAUAGUCUGAUAUAGGCCAGGCAUUAUUCAGAUGGUUUGCAUUCACUUCAUUUAUUCUUCACAAAACCCCAAGAGAUAAUAUUAUUAUCCCAAUAUUACUGAUGAGAGGCUAAUAGAUAAUAACUUUCCUAUAGCGAAAUGGCUUAUUCAACAAAUAAGAGUGCAGAUUUUAAUCCAGGACUGUUGUCAAGAAAGCAUGUAAUCUUUGUGUUAGUGUUGAGGGUGAAAGAAUAAAAGGGAGAAAGUUGAUUUAAUAGCAAGUCUUUGAAAACAGUGACUGUAAGCAUAGUGUGUGCAUGCAUGCGUGUGUGUGUGUGUGUGUGCAUGUGUUGUAUAGGGGAAAAUGUUUUCAUUACAGGAGGAAGAAUAGAAAUUAUGAACUUAUUUCACAGAGGCACUUCUCUAAGAAAAAAACUUGUAUUUGUCUUACUGACUGAACUGUUUUUGUGAGAUACUCAGAGGUAGCCUUUUGAAAGGAAGGUCAUCUUACUGACGCACUCUUCCUUUUUGUUUCAGUGCUGUGUGCGUUUUUGUGUCCCCUGUUUAAGUGUAAUGAUAUUGGACAAAAAAUAUACAGCAAAAUCAAGUCACUUCUGCUGAAGCUAGAUUUUGGAAUUGGAGAAUAUAUUAAUCAGAAGAGACGUAAGAGAUCUGAAGCAGAUAAAGAAAAAAGUCACAAAGAUGACAGUGAAUUAGACCUUUCAGCUCUUUGUCCUAAGAUUAGCCUCACGGUUGCGGCCAAAGAGUUGUCUGUGUCUGACACGGACGUGUCCGAGGUCUCCUGGACUGACAAUGGGACCUUCAACCUGUCAGAAGGAUACACUCCACAGACAGACACUUCUGAUGGUAUGCUCACAUUUCUACAUAUUCUUCUUUUUAAUAUUAUGAGUAUCUGCAAAAAUAUUUACCUCUGUCAACUGCUGAAUCGAUACACAAAAUAUGGCGUAUCUAUACAGCGGAAUACCACUUGGCUAUAAAAACAAAGUGCUGAUACAUGCCAUGACUUGGAUGAACCUUGAGAACAUUAUGCUGAGUGAAAGAAAUCAAACACACAAGUCCAUCUAUUGUAUCAGUCCAUUUAUAUGAAACGCCCAGAAGAGGCAAAUCCAUUUGGACAGAAAGUAGGUUAGUGGCUGCUAGGGGCUGAGGGAAGAAGAAUGGUGGUGAGUGAUUGGUAAUUAGUAUGAGUUUUUUGUAAUGAUGAAAUUAGGUAUUGGUGGUUGUUGUAAAGCUUUGUGAGUAUAUUAAAAAACCACCGAGUGUACACUUUAAAAGGGCAAAUUUUAUGGUAUAUGAAUCGUAUCUCAAAAGCUAUUACUUUUUUAAAAGUAUGAGAAAAAGAUCUAAGACAGUCAAGAUACAAAUCUGCCUUUAUUUUGAAAACAAAUAAUUGACAGUGAAAACAAUUUCUGAAAUGUCUGGUGGCAAAUAUCUGUUACUUUUGGCAACAAUGGAAGGAGUGGAAGAGAGACACUCAUCCCAUACAUCCAGGGCUAGUCCUCAUUAAAAAGGAUUGAAGUGCAAAGGACCAGUUCCCCAAGUCUAAAGCUGACUCCACUCACGUUUUUCUUCAAAGUUAAAAAAAAAAAUUUUUUUAUAAUUAGGAUAAAUAUAAUUUAAAAUAGUCUUGUGCAGUAACUUAACAUUUACUAGCCUCAUUGGAUUAUUUCAAGUCAUUUUAGCCAUAUACUGAAAAUAUGAGGUUAUAAUGGAAGAUUAUGAAUUGCUUUAUAUGUGUUUUUACAAGCAAGAACACACUUUCUUUUCCUAGAGGAAGGAGGGAGGCUGUGCAAUGUUUGAAAGACAGGCUUGGAGACUGGAACACCCAAGUGUAGUCUUGCUUUUGUCAUUAGCUACCUGUGUGACCUUGAACGGGUGACAUAAUUUCUGUGGGCUUCAAUUUCCUCACCUUUAAAGUGUAUUAGAAUAUUCAUGGGGCAACCUGGUGGCUCAGUUGGUAGAACAUGUGACUCUUGA
Leptonychotes weddellii (Weddell seal) is the source of this 2934-nucleotide non-coding RNA. NCBI's taxonomy places the organism in Eukaryota, Metazoa, Chordata, Mammalia, Carnivora, Phocidae. The record is from RefSeq and is a predicted model, not a curated record.